GUGAGUAACACGUGGGCAACCUACCUUAUAGUUUGGGAUAACUCCGGGAAACCGGGGCUAAUACCGAAUAAUCUGUUUCACCUCAUGGUGAAAUAUUGAAAGACGGUUUCGGCUGUCGCUAUAGGAUGGGCCCGCGGCGCAUUAGCUAGUUGGUGAGGUAACGGCUCACCAAGGCGACGAUGCGUAGCCGACCUGAGAGGGUGAUCGGCCACACUGGGACUGAGACACGGCCCAGACUCCUACGGGAGGCAGCAGUAGGGAAUCUUCCACAAUGGGCGAAAGCCUGAUGGAGCAACGCCGCGUGAGUGAAGAAGGAUUUCGGUUCGUAAAACUCUGUUGUAAGGGAAGAACAAGUACAGUAGUAACUGGCUGUACCUUGACGGUACCUUAUUAGAAAGCCACGGCUAACUACGUGCCAGCAGCCGCGGUAAUACGUAGGUGGCAAGCGUUGUCCGGAAUUAUUGGGCGUAAAGCGCGCGCAGGUGGUUUCUUAAGUCUGAUGUGAAA
RNAcentral lists this ribosomal RNA (507 nucleotides) under Lysinibacillus fusiformis. RNAcentral describes it as "bacterial SSU rRNA". It matches the Rfam family "Bacterial small subunit ribosomal RNA", at positions 106 to 599 of the family's 1533-position model. The record is from RNAcentral. Lineage: Bacteria; Bacillati; Bacillota; Bacilli; Caryophanales; Bacillaceae.